RNAcentral lists this ribosomal RNA (468 nucleotides) under uncultured bacterium. RNAcentral describes it as "partial 16S ribosomal RNA". It matches the Rfam family "Bacterial small subunit ribosomal RNA", at positions 28 to 507 of the family's 1533-position model. The record is from RNAcentral.
GACGAACGCUGGCGGCGGGCUUAACACAUGCAAGUCGAACGGAAAGGCCCUGCUUUUGUGUGGUUCUCGAGUGGCGAACGGGUGAGUAACACGUGAGUAACCUGCGCUGGACUGUGGGAUAACUUCAGGAAACUGGGGCUACUACCGGAUAGGAGCUGCUGCUGCAUGGUGGGGGUUGGAAAGUUUAGGCGGUUGGGGAUGGACUCGCGGCUUAUCAGCUUGUUGGUGGGGUAGUGGCUUACCAAGGCUUUGACGGGUAGCCGGCCUGAGAGGGUGACCGGCCACAUUGGGACUGAGAUACGGACCAGACUCCUACGGGAGGCAGCAGUGGGGAAUAUUGCACAGUGGGGCGAAGCCUGAGGCAGAAACGCCGCGAGCGGGAUGAAGGCCAUCGGGUUGUAAACCGCUUUAGCCUGUGACGAAGCGGGAGUGACGGUAAUGGGUAAAGAAGCACCGGCUAACUACGUG